RNAcentral lists this ribosomal RNA (253 nucleotides) under uncultured bacterium. RNAcentral's name for it is "partial 16S ribosomal RNA". It matches the Rfam family "Bacterial small subunit ribosomal RNA", at positions 524 to 776 of the family's 1533-position model. The record is from RNAcentral.
UACGGAGGGGGCGAGCGUUGUUCGGAAUUACUGGGCGUAAAGCGCGCGUAGGCGGUUUUGUAAGUCGAAUGUGAAAGCCCUCGGCUCAACCGAGGAACUGCGUUCGAUACUGCAAGGCUUGAGUCCGGUAGGGGAUGGCAGAAUUCCCGGUGUAGCGGUGGAAUGCGUAGAUAUCGGGAGGAAUACCGAUGGCGAAGGCGGCCAUCUGGGCCGGAACUGACGCUGAGGCGCGAAAGCUAGGGGAGCAAACAGG